AGUACGCGCCUGGGGCGUCUCGUACUUGGAAAGCUAGUGCUCUAUACAAAGACCAAUAAAAGUUUGCAGAGCCUAAGUUGUUGGAUACACCUUUUUUUUUUAGUUAGGGGGAGGGAAAUCUUUUCACGCCGGGCACAAAACACUCCAAAAGCGGCAGGGUUUUUCGUGUCAAAUCGCCAUCUUGGACGGGGCACGUUUUCAGAGGACUGGUGCCGAAUUUACGAAUCUGCUCGGGCCCUAUGUUCGAAGGCUUGUAGGAUUUUCGCUAGCUUCGGAAAAUAAGAUCGGAUGGCGGGAAAGCACAGACGGAAGAACAAGGUUUGAUUUGGUAUCAAACAUGGCCAGAAUUUCGCGUGGUUCCUGCGCCUAUUCUUCAAAGGGAUACGGUCUUUCCGCGACUUAUCCCAAAAUGUCUUGAAUUCAGUUAUUUUGAGUCCCGAUUUUAUUUUUACGUCGAAAGAAUUUAUUGAAAAUCAGCAGGGUAGUCCGAUUCUUGAAUCCCUGAAUGUCUUCGCUAUGAUUUUGGUUUUGUAGAUUUCUCCUAUGUUCUCGCGCGAUUAUUUUUGAAACCUCACUCUAAUUUCCAAGUUUAAUUGUAAAUAUGCCAAAGAGAUUCAGUCUCGGAGAGUAAAUGCGAGAGGCCAAAUUAAAGUGACAGAAUGUGAUGGACUCUUCGUGAGAACUGCAGGAGCUGGAGGAUGAGUUUUCUUCCCUUUAGCAAAGCAUCGCUGAGAAGAAACGUGAAAGCGAAGCGAGAAAAGCUGAGAAGGCUUAGCAGAAAGGUAUUUAUAAAGACCCAAAUAGAAUGUGUUUACAUAUAAUACUCAUUUUGUAGAAAUGCAGUGCUUAUAGAAAAGGAAUCGAAAGGAAAGGACAUAUUUAUUUUAGCCAGACUUGCGCAUUAUUUUACGCUAUCGUGUUAUUUGAGAGGGGUGAUUUAUUGAGUUAUAAAUUAUAGUCAAAUUGUUGGUUCUUUCAGAUCAAAAGAUCGUUUCGUCAAAGAAAUAACACAUGGAAUAGAACUCAAAAAAACUCGGCGCGCGCGUUGCUAUGGUAGCUUAUAAACAAUAAUUAUUCUUUGUUGUGAAAGUAUUUUCAGUUUCAACAGCGUGGUACAAGUAUGACUAGUAAUAGUGGUGGCAACGAUAUUUCUAAAUCAACAUGUUGUAAAGUGGCAAUUCCAUAAUGAAUUUCAUAAUGAAUUUCCCUGAUUAGUUGUCCUAAUCAUCAAGCUACCAUAGCUUAUUAACAAGUAAUGAAAACUUAUGGGGGAAGUAUUGCUCCAAAUAACACAGGGAAAGAGAAAGUUUCUGACUGGCCGUAUGGGUGGUGCAGCUAGACAGCUUCAGUUGAAGAAGAAGAAAGAGGAAAAACUAGCCGCUGAACAGGAGAAGAACUCAACCAAGCAGCAUGAUGAUAGUAAGAACACAGCUUGGAAUGCUUACCUAGAGGAGCUGGGAAGCUGAAUUACGAGAGCGCAGAUUCAGACGUGGUCGAAUUGAAGGCGCCUCAGGCAGCCGAAUACAAUUCAUGUCUGACCACGGAUCACAGCUAAGAUCGAAAUUGUUGGUUUUGUGGAGGGAUGAAAACCGGAGAAAAACCCUCGGAGCAAAGGCGAGACCAACUAACUCGACUCACGUAGGAACCGGGAGUCGAACCCGGGACCCAGUGGUGAGAGGCACAGGCACUACAGAGCGACCGGGAAACCUGUGGUGAGAAGCACAGGCACUACAGAGCAACGCUCUGCCAACUGCGCCACCUAGGCUCCCAUAAUACAGAGAGACUUCAUGCACAGAGGAAGUAGACAGAGUCCGGCCUCUAGUCAAGUGAUGAAAAUAUAUUUAUAUGUGUAAUGUGAUUAUAACAAGUGGUUUACAUAUCUAUGAAAUAGCCUUAGAUUUACUCAGCUUUAAAACACUCUUUUUUCCCCUUUCUCAUUGUAUCAUAGGUGAGGUUUGUUACCCAGAACUCCACAUAUUUCUUUGAGCCACAGCUAUUUGCUCUAGGUCAUGGCUACUGGAAAGGUAGUGUCCAACUAGGGUUUGGCCCCAGCCAUGACCUAUGUAGUAAAUGGCAUUUCAGUCCAUUGAACAGAUUGUUGCAUGUAGACACCCUGUUACACCCUAUUGGACAUUAGUUCUACAACUGUGGUUUUGGUAUCUAUUAGUUAUUUGAAACUUUGGAAGAUAUAUUUUUGUGCAUGUCCAGCAGUGUCGAAAAUUUCUAUAUUUAGAACAGCCCAGUGUUGUGUUUUAUGUAUGUAUAAACUUAUGCAAAUAAAAAAAAUCAUUUGCCUAUCAA
Long non-coding RNA from Nematostella vectensis (starlet sea anemone), 2301 nucleotides. RefSeq lists it as uncharacterized. The transcript is spliced from 3 exons. The record is from RefSeq and is a predicted model, not a curated record. Lineage: Eukaryota; Metazoa; Cnidaria; Anthozoa; Actiniaria; Edwardsiidae.